RNAcentral lists this ribosomal RNA (492 nucleotides) under uncultured bacterium. RNAcentral's name for it is "partial 16S ribosomal RNA". It matches the Rfam family "Bacterial small subunit ribosomal RNA", at positions 28 to 507 of the family's 1533-position model. The record is from RNAcentral.
GAUGAACGCUAGCUACAGGCUUAACACAUGCAAGUCGAGGGGAAACGCCAUCGAAAGCUUGCUUUUGAUGGGCGUCGACCGGCGCACGGGUGAGUAACGCGUAUCCAACCUGCCCAUCACUUGGGGAUAACCUUGCGAAAGUAAGACUAAUACCCAAUGAUAUCUCUAGAAGACAUCUGAAAGGGAUUAAAGAUUUAUCGGUGAUGGAUGGGGAUGCGUCUGAUUAGCUUGUUGGCGGGGUAACGGCCCACCAAGGCAACGACCAGUAGGGGUUCUGAGAGGAAGGUCCCCCACAUUGGAACUGAGACACGGUCCAAACUCCUACGGGAGGCAGCAGUGAGGAAUAUUGGUCAAUGGGCGAGAGCCUGAACCAGCCAAGUAGCGUGCAGGAAGACGGCCCUAUGGGUUGUAAACUGCUUUUAGAAGGGAAUAAAGUGAGAGUCGUGACUCUUUUUGUAUGUACCUUAUGAAUAAGGACCGGCUAAUUCCGUG